GUUCCAAGACAAGGAUAUUAGUGUUGCAUUCAGAAGCCCUAAUUUGGUCCAUCCAAAAGACCAAAUUCCAAGAGAGGAAAAGACAAGCAUUGUGUAAAGAUUACUUGCACAGAUUGUAACAAUUCAUAAUUAUGUUGGGGAAACUGGCAAAACUUAAAUGAGCGAUUAAAAGAACACAAAAGAGCCCUUUGAUUGAGCUACCCAUCCCAUUUAGCUUUAGGUGAACACGCCCUCAACUCCAGGACAUAAUAUUGGAUGGGAUGAUGCCCUUAUUAUUGACUUUGAAAGCAACUUCUGGUCAAGAAAGGUGAAAGAGUAGAUAUGGAUUAAGAGGAUUAAGCCUACACUAAACAGGGACUCUGGAUACUUAUUGUCACCUAUCUUUGGUCCAGUGCUCGCAAGAUACCAUGCAGGCGGCGCAGCUAAGAAAACGUGUGACUGGAAACUUAGCUUGAGAAAGUCCACAUAAGUGGACGGAAGCUUGCGCAACAAAACCCAAGAUGAACACUUUUAAGAUGUCUAUCAUUCUCAUCGUGUCUCUCUGUCUCCUGAUGAGCAUAGGACACUCUGAAGCACAGUCGACCUCAGCUGAGUCGACCUCAGCUGAGUCUGUGGCCUCAGCUGAGUCGACCUCAGCAGAGUCUGCCGCCUCAGCAGAGUCUGCCGCCUCAGCAGCAUCUGUCGCCUCAGCAGCGUCUGCUGACUCCGGUCGCAAGAAGCGAUCUGAAUCAGACUCCGACUCGGCAGAAGCGAUCUAGUUCAGAGGAGGAGUCUGAUGGCGCUGCCUCAUCACAAUCUGCUUCUUCCAAGUAUGAACCAAGUCCGACUACGGACGUUCUGUGGCGACGUCUAGACGAUGAUUUAUGAUUCAAAUUCAACAGAUUACAAGUAGAUGUUAAACAACUCUUUGUGUGUCACUCUCAUAAUAUCCAUGUUCUAUACUUUAAAUCUGGACGUGUAAUUUUAUCUUUCGUUAAUUUGACUAUUUCAAGUGCAAAUUAUAAAAAAAAAAACAUAUAUGUCAUAAAGCAGUUGGUCUUGUAUUCAAUUAUGGCUGGAAAUUGGUCAUUAUGCAAGGCUUUUGUAAGACAGUUCAGAUCACACUUUCUUCCCGAUUAGCACUCGAGGCACACACGUGAGUGUGUCGAUCAGCACUCUUGGCAGAUGAAAGGUUAUUCAAUACGAUUAUUGACAUAAUUCUAUUUAUAUCUAGCUAUAGACAGAUAAUGACAUAUUAUAACUACUAAUUUCACUGUAAAAUUAUAUUAUUAUUCAAAUUAAACAGUUAAAAUGUGUGUAAUCUGAAUUGGCAGUGCCUUCUUUACAUGUUAACGAUUGAUUUUUCUUAUACAAAUAAUUACAGUGCAGAAUUUUUAAUGUGUUUUUAAAAAUUCUAGAUAGAUUUGUCUUUACAUGUUAUCAGGAUACUACAUGGUCGACUGUUUUCCCAAUCAAAUCAUAUUCGGUUUAAGUGUUCUUUGUUUUUUAUGUAAGCACAGACAUUCGAAAGUAAUAGUGUUGCAGAAUGCUUUCUGCUUUCCUCUUCUUUUCCCCUUUUUCUCAUUUUUCCUUUCCUGUUUUACAUUCCCUUCUUUAUCAUCAUUGAUCUGUUGUUAAUGUUCCCUGCUCUUAAAAUACAAUACAAAUGUGUGUAUCAUAAUCAUGAUUAAAUCGAAGCUCAAAACCACA
Molecule: long non-coding RNA, 1689 nt
Organism: Strongylocentrotus purpuratus (purple sea urchin)
Lineage: Eukaryota; Metazoa; Echinodermata; Echinoidea; Camarodonta; Strongylocentrotidae
Exons: 3
Source: RefSeq, a predicted model, not a curated record